GCAAUAGGGGUCUACCAUGCAGUCGAACGAGGAGUAUGUUGUAUACGUAUUGUUUGACGGCGAACGGGUGAGUAACACUUGGGUAAUCUGCCCUUGAGUUUGGGAUAACCCAACUCAAGCGGGGUUGAUAUAAAAUAAGAUCACGGGGACGAAAGUCUCUGGGGUGAAAGGUGGCCUCUAUUUAUUGGCUACCCCUUGGGGAUGAGCCCGGGGCCCAUUGGCUAGUUGGCGGGGUAAUGGCCCAACAGGGCUAUGAUGGGUAGCUGGUCUGAGAGGACCAUCAGCCGCACUGGAACUGAGACUCGGUCCGGACUCCUACGGGAGGAAUCUUGGGGGAAUAUUGAACACUGGGCGAAAGCCUGACGCAUGAACGCCGCGUGGGGGAUGAAGGUUCUCGGAUUGUCAACCCCUUUCGAUCGGAACGAAUCCCCUCCUGGUAAAUAAUCAAGACGGUCGACGGUACCGAGAGAAGAAGCCACGGGUAACUCUGUGCCAGAAUCCCCGGUAAUACAGAGGUGGCUAGCGUUGUUCCGAUUUAUAGGGCGUAUAGCGCACCUUAGCCGUUUGGUUACUCAGAAGUGAGAUUCCCCAGCUUAACUGCAGAACUGCCUUUGAUACUGCCUUUCUCGAGUGCAUGAGGGGGAUCCGGAAUUCCGGGUGUGGAGGUGAAAUUCCCUAGAUAUCCUGAGGAACACCUGAGGCGAAAGCGGCUUCCUGGCAUGUAACUGACGCUCACGUGCGAAAGCGUGGGUAACAAACAGGAUUAGAUACCCUGGUAGUCCACGCCCUAAACGAUGGGCACUAGGUGUGAGAGGUAUCGACUGCCUUCCGUGCCGCAGCUAACGCAUUACAGCCCCGCCUGGGGAGUACAGCCGCGCGGUUGAAACUCACAGCCAAUUAGACAU
RNAcentral lists this ribosomal RNA (905 nucleotides) under uncultured delta proteobacterium. RNAcentral describes it as "bacterial SSU rRNA". It matches the Rfam family "Bacterial small subunit ribosomal RNA", at positions 35 to 916 of the family's 1533-position model. Lineage: Bacteria; Deltaproteobacteria. The record is from RNAcentral.